GUAGGGAAUAUUGGGCAAUGGUCGGAAGACUGACCCAGCCAUGCCGCGUGCAGGAAGACGGCCCUCUGGGUUGUAAACUGCUUUUAUCUGGGAAGAAAAAGGCCAUGCGUGGCAAAUUGCCGGUACCAGAUGAAUAAGCACCGGCUAACUCCGUGCCAGCAGCCGCGGUAAUACGGAGGGUGCGAGCGUUGUCCGGAUUUAUUGGGUUUAAAGGGUGCGUAGGAGGCUGAGUAAGUCAGCGGUGAAAGACUUCGGCUUAACCGGAGCAGUGCCGUUGAUACUGGUUGGCUUGAGUGUCGGAGGGGUACAUGGAAUUGAUGGUGUAGCGGUGAAAUGCAUAGAUACCAUCAGGAACACCGAUAGCGAAGGCAUUGUACUGGCCGACAACUGACGCUGAUGCACGAAAGUGUGGGGAUCGAACAGGAUUAGAAACCCGAGUAGUCC
This 444-nucleotide ribosomal RNA is filed under the name uncultured bacterium. RNAcentral describes it as "partial 16S ribosomal RNA". It matches the Rfam family "Bacterial small subunit ribosomal RNA", at positions 354 to 796 of the family's 1533-position model. The record is from RNAcentral.